This is a long non-coding RNA of Puntigrus tetrazona (Sumatra barb), 1021 nucleotides long. RefSeq lists it as uncharacterized. The transcript has 5 exons. Lineage: Eukaryota; Metazoa; Chordata; Actinopteri; Cypriniformes; Cyprinidae. The record is from RefSeq and is a predicted model, not a curated record.
AGACAGCAAAUAGUAGACAUGAGAGAUAAUUGCAGAGCUUGCAGCUAUUUUUUAUGCGUUCUCCGUAUUUACAGAAAAAACGGUCUUGAAUUUUCAUCCAAAAACUAAAGGAUGCGAGCAGUCUCCAUCAUCAGGACUUAAUGUUUUGCCAUGAUCCGUGAUGUGAUUGGAGAACCACCUCCAAGAUUACCGGACAAAGGCAUCAGGUGAAUAAUGAUUCGUCCCGGCACAGGAACGACUCUGACAAUAACCUCCUGAUUCCUAUCGGCCCUGUGUCCGGCAGCAUUCCAUCACUCUCCAACGAUAUCGAUCUGGCCGUCUGCCUCAUCAAUGGACUCGUAUGACUGAGGACAACCGUGGGCCGACGUGCUGCAGCAUACGGACAAAAUGCAUUUCAUCUCCAGAGCACUUGGUUUUUCUGUCUGGUUUCGAGGCCGUUUCAAGUUCGAUUAGGGGAGUGCUGGGGUAACACUGCAGUCUAAUUCUUGAGGCACCUUCCAUAAAAGCCAAAUAUAGUUCCAUCGAUCCAUUGACGAAACCUCGAGACGGACGUGUAGACGCCGGGGUACUGGGCAUCAGCGCAGCCGUUUCCCCAGGAGACGAUCCCAUAGACACGGCCCUCACACACCAGCGGUCCUCCGGAAUCACCCUGCGCAAAAAAAAACAGUCAUAUUAAUGUGAUUUUGGACAGGGAGGUCAGUGGAGAGCGAUCAAACGAAUACGCAUCAUGUUCUCUGUGAUGUUUCCAUUAAAAGAGUCCGUGCCGUUACACACUGCGGUGGACACGAUGGGCAGUUUGACCGUGUGCAGGGUCUCGGGGAUUCCUCCCGUCGGAGUGGUGAAGCCCCAGCCGGACACGGUGCACAGGCGACCCACGGCCACCACAGCGUCCUGCCGAGUGUGCUGCGGUCAAGAUCCAGUAUUUGUUAAUCAAGGUCCCUCCACAGAAGUGCUGGCCCGUGGCGGUCUGAAUAGACACGAUGUACUUGAUGGAGUACGGCGCUGGGACGUAUCCACCCAC